Ooceraea biroi (clonal raider ant) is the source of this 1749-nucleotide long non-coding RNA. RefSeq lists it as uncharacterized. NCBI's taxonomy places the organism in Eukaryota, Metazoa, Arthropoda, Insecta, Hymenoptera, Formicidae. The record is from RefSeq and is a predicted model, not a curated record.
UAAAGAUAAGACAAGAGUAACUACGAGGAAUACGUAGCGAUGAAGUAAUCAGACCUACACUGACGUACACAAUCGCAGCACCGACCACGCGGGCACGAUUCAUUACGCUGUUUGCGUACGGAUGUACGACGAAAAUAAUCGCACCUCGAAUAAUGGUCAGGAUAGAAUGAUUGGUACACUCCCGUCACACUCGGAACUUUUCACAAGUUGCUCACAAGUUGUCCAGUGCAUUGGGAAAAACUGUGCAUGAAUCACCACGGGAGAUCUGCUCUGAUGAACGUACUAAAGCCGAAUGCUGGACAGGAUAGUUUUCGUUUCGAGACUGGGGUAGCUCGCACAGUGGGGAAAACGACGAAGGAGGGGAUGACGAGGGGUGGGAAGACUCACAACUGAUAAUCUAAUCUCUCGUUGUGCCUCGUUAUGCAUUACAUAUUUCUAUACACGUGUUGCACUCGCGUCUCUGUUACGUGUAUCCUGGAACAAGGGUAGAAUGGGAGAGUUGGAGCCAUCCGCUGUCCAGAGCUGCCAAUUAAUGCACGAUCAAUCACGGACGACGACGAGAUUACAGCCGGUUACUCAGACUUUUGCAACAUUAAUGUUUACAAGUUUGACAAAUGUUAAGAUUAAGGCCGAUCUCACUAUAUAUAUUUGUUUAUUUUAUUUAAACUUUUAAUACUGUUAAUAUUAAUUUUGCCUUUGUAAUAAAUAACAAGCGAGGGCUAGAACUUUUUGCAAGUUAAUCAGAGUCGAAAACAUAUGUCUAAGAUUAAAAGCGAGAUGCGUUUCCAAUUAAACGCGAAAAACAACAUGUGAAAUAAUCGCAUAGUUAAAUAUAACAUUGCAUAAAUAUGUGUGCAAGCAUCGAUUAUAUAUUCUCAGAAGUUCCGACAUAGGCCAACAGGUCUCUUGAACUCUCUGAUGGUAAUAGCGUUUUUUGCGACCGCGAGUAUAUUAAUCACCUGCAAUAACGUGCCAUCGGCAAAUAUUUUCAAGGUUAUAUUAGGUAUAUGCAAAGGUUUCAGUCAUUUUUUUGCAUUCGUUUUAUUAUAGAUGCAUAAUAUAUGCAAUACAAUUCAGUCAUCAAAAUAUUUGUCUUCGUUUCUUACGAUUUUCUGCCAUUUCUCUUUAAAUUUCCGCUUGCUCGCCGCGAUCAUUGUUAUUUCUCAAAAAAUUAUAUUUAUUGUUAAAUCAUGACAUGUGGCAUUUUACAAACUUUAAUGUCAACUCUUGAGAAACGUAAAAAAGCGAGAAUUUCUUUCAAGUUUAAAUAAUAUUAUAAUACCAGAGCGUUGAGAAAAAGAAAGACUAAAACUUUGCAUAUACCUAACAUAUGUAGAAAGCAUCAAGAUAUAUUAUAUUUCCAUAAAUGUUAUUCCGUUUUAUUUCCUUUCGAAUUGCAUCGCAUUGCGUAUUUCUCAAGUGUAAUGACACAAACAACGUCUCGUAAAAAUGUCUCGUUCGAAUAAGGAGCGCACACGUGUCUACAGAUUGCUAGAGCGUGCUAUGAUUCGUACGGAAAUUGCUCAUCGAUCACAAUUAUGCAACUAAAAACGCGAGCUGAGUGCUAUACGCGAAAAACAAAAUGAAUAGGUCGGGACUUUUCAAUGGGAAAAUUUGUAGCAUUCUCAUCAUAUUUUCGCGUCGGAAAACAUUUAUAGCAGACACGUACACGCAACGAUUGGUAUACUUAAUACCGCGAAUAUUGCGCGCUUUUUAUGGAAUUUAGUCAAUAAAUCAUCACCAAGAUGU